RNAcentral lists this ribosomal RNA (465 nucleotides) under uncultured bacterium. Its description in RNAcentral is "partial 16S ribosomal RNA". It matches the Rfam family "Bacterial small subunit ribosomal RNA", at positions 338 to 795 of the family's 1533-position model. The record is from RNAcentral.
CCUACGGGUGGCAGCAGUGGGGAAUUUUGCGCAAUGCUCGUAAGAGUGACGCAGCGACGCCGCGUGAAUGACGAAGGCCUUCGGGUCGUUAAGUUUUUUCGACAGGGAAGAAAAUGCAUAUAAGUAACUGUGUAUGUAUUGACGGUACCUGUAUAAGUCGCCUCGGCUAACUCCGUGCCAGCAGCCGCGGUAAUACGGAGGGGGCGAGCGUGGUUCGGAGUGACUGGGCGUAAAGAGCACGUAGGAGGGGAUGUAAGUCAUUAGUCAAAGACUAGAGCUCCACUUUAGUAAAGCUAGUGAUACUAUAAUACUAGAGUAUCAGAGAGGAUUGCAGAAUUCCUGGUGUAGCGGUGAAAUGCGUAGAUAUCAGGAGGAAUACCGUUAGCGAAGGCAGCAAACUGGCUGGAAACUGACGCUGAGGUGCGAAAGCGUGGGUAGCAAACAGGAUUAGAUACCCGAGUAGUC